CAAUGGCUAUGGCUGUUUUUCUCUCUCUUCUUUAUGCUUCUGUAGGAAUUGUGUCUGCAUUGUCUCAUCCAGACAAGAUCAUUAAAUUGCCUGGACAACCUCAAGUGGGGUUUCAGCAAUUUUCAGGAUAUGUUACUGUUGAUGAUAAGAAGCAAAGAUCUCUCUUUUACUACUUUGUUGAAGCUGAAACAGAUCCAGCUUCAAAGCCUUUAGUUUUGUGGUUGAAUGGAGGUAUAAAAUUUCAAAAAUUUAAGACAUUCUUGUUUUGGGGUGUUAUUUUUCUUGAUAAAGUUUCAAUCUUUUUUGAGUAUUUGCAAAAAUAAAAUAAAAUUGCAGGACCUGGAUGUUCUUCACUUGGGGUUGGUGCAUUUUCUGAAAAUGGGCCAUUUAGACCAAGAGGACAAGUUCUUGUUAAGAAUGAACACAGCUGGAAUAAAGGUGAUAUACCAUUUUAUUCAAGAAAAUUUUCCAUUUUUUUCCUGUGGUAACUUCAUAGUUCUGAGAAGUAAAAAAAAUGAUUGUUUUAUCUUUAUUGAAAUAUUUGCAGAGGCAAACAUGUUGUAUUUGGAAAGCCCAAUUGGAGUUGGGUUCUCUUAUUCAUCUGAUACUUCUUCCUAUGAGACAGUAAAUGAUGAAGUAACAGGUAUUUUUGCCUCUCCCAAGCUAUGUUUUUCACACACUUCGACGGCUGCAGUUCCCUGUCGGAUCCUCCAAAAGUAGUGCAUUUUUGGAGAAUCUGACAUGGGCUUGAUAUCAGUUAUGGAGAGUCCGAGCAACACAGCUGAUAGCUCCCAAGUACCAAUUUAACAUGCAUUUCAUGUUGAAUCUUUGUAAUUACAACUAUUGGUUCAUUUCCAAAAGCUUGUUCCUUUUUAUCUUUACCUUUUUGACUUUUAUGAUGAGCAUGUGAUUGCUGAUCUUCAGCAGUAUAUUGGAGCAACUUACAACUUAAUGAAAAGGAAAAGGAGAUCUUCUUUAUUGUUAAUGUGGAUUCUGGGAACUUUCUGAUUUUUUUUAAUCCUUUUUUUGUUUGUUUGUAAUUGAAUUUUAAAUUUCUUGCUUUAUAUGCCUUUGCAUCUAAAGNUUUCCUUAUGAAUUUGCAGACUUCAAAACCAAUGGCUAUGGCUGUUUUUCUCUCUCUUCUUUAUGCUUCUGUAGGAAUUGUGUCUGCAUUGUCUCAUCCAGACAAGAUCAUUAAAUUGCCUGGACAACCUCAAGUGGGGUUUCAGCAAUUUUCAGGAUAUGUUACUGUUGAUGAUAAGAAGCAAAGAUCUCUCUUUUACUACUUUGUUGAAGCUGAAACAGAUCCAGCUUCAAAGCCUUUAGUUUUGUGGUUGAAUGGAG
Molecule: long non-coding RNA, 1344 nt
Filed under: Solanum pimpinellifolium
Lineage: Eukaryota; Viridiplantae; Streptophyta; Magnoliopsida; Solanales; Solanaceae
Description: long non-coding RNA (SPIM_LNC000086)
Source: RNAcentral